GAUGAACGCUAGCGGCAGGCCUAACACAUGCAAGUCGAGGGAGAAGCCCUUCGGGGCAGAAACCGGCGCACGGGUGCGUAACGCGUAUGCAACCUACCUUUCACAGGGGGAUAGCCCGAAGAAAUUUGGAUUAAUACCCCAUAAUAUUAUUGGAUGGCAUCAUUUGAUAAUUAAAAUUACGAUGGUGAAAGAUGGGCAUGCGUCCUAUUAGCUAGUUGGAGUGGUAACGGCACCCCAAGGCUACGAUAGGUAGGGGUCCUGAGAGGGAGAUCCCCCACACUGGUACUGAGACAGGGACCAGACUCCUACGGGAGGCAGCAGUGAGGAAUAUUGGUCAAUGGUCGGAAGACUGAACCAGCCAUGCCGCGUGCAGGAAGAAUGCCUUAUGGGUUGUAAACUGCUUUUAUAUGGGAAGAAUAAGGAGUACGCGUACUUUGANGACGGUACCA
RNAcentral lists this ribosomal RNA (449 nucleotides) under uncultured bacterium. RNAcentral's name for it is "bacterial SSU rRNA". It matches the Rfam family "Bacterial small subunit ribosomal RNA", at positions 28 to 480 of the family's 1533-position model. The record is from RNAcentral.